CCUACGGGAGGCAGCAGUGAGGAAUAUUGGUCAAUGGACGAGCGUCUGAACCAGCCAAGUAGCGUGAAGGAUGACUGCCCUAUGGGUUGUAAACUUCUUUUAUAUGGGAAUAAAAUGUUCCACGUGUGGGAUUUUGUAUGUACCAUUUGAAUAAGGAUCGGCUAACUCCGUGCCAGCAGCCGCGGUAAUACGGAGGAUCCGAGCGUUAUCCGGUUUUAUUGGGUUUAAGGGGAGCGUAGGUGGAUUGUUAAGGCAGUUGUGAAAGUUUGCGGCUCAACCGUAAAAUUGCAGUUGAAACUGGCAGUCUUGAGUACAGUAGAGGUGGGCGGAAUUCGUGGUGUAGCGGUGAAAUGCUUAGAUAUCACGAAGAACUCCGAUUGCGAAGGCAGUUCACUGGACUGCAACUGACACUGAGGCUCGAAAGUGUGGGUAUCAAACAGGAUUAGAUACCCCGGUAGUC
RNAcentral lists this ribosomal RNA (460 nucleotides) under uncultured bacterium. Its description in RNAcentral is "partial 16S ribosomal RNA". It matches the Rfam family "Bacterial small subunit ribosomal RNA", at positions 338 to 795 of the family's 1533-position model. The record is from RNAcentral.